AAAAUACGUUACCGAAUUAUAAUAAAAACGGAAAAACGACAAAUAAACAAUUAAAAAAGAUUACCCGCAAAACGGCCAUAUAUUAUUAUAUAAUAAAAAAAAAUAUAAAACGUACGAAUUGACGAUUAAAUAUAAAUAGGAAAAUAAAAUAAAAAUUUUAAAUAAAUUAUUCGAAAAAUUUAUAUAACGCGAGGCCGAUAUAUUAUUAAUUGCAAAAAGAUUAUAACCGGUGGAUAAACGCUAAUUUAAAAACCAAAAAAUUUUUAAAUUACGUUUUAUAAACGAAAUUAAAGGAUAAUUUAAACAAUUAUAUAAAAAAUUACGUUUUAUAAUGCAAAAUUAUAAUAAUAACGAAUUAAAGGUUUUAUUUACGCAAUUACCCACGAUAAUAUAAUAUAACCAACGGUUUAUAUUAAUAUUUAUACCGGUUUUAAAAAAACGCGGAUAUAAUUUUAUAUUCCGAAAUAUUAACCAAAUAUAUAUAUAAAAUUCUACAAAAUUCCAAAAAAAACGUUUUAAUGCGUAUAUCGAAAAAAUAAUAUAUAGGUUCCCGAAAAAUACGGUUUUUAAAUGUUUUAAAUUUUUAUACGGUUUCGCCGAGGCGGAAUUAUACUAAUUUAUUAUAUAUUAAUAAUAUUAUAAAAAACGUUUAAAUUGCGUUUUAUCGAAUUAUAAUCCGUAUUUAUUUUUUUCCAAACCGGGAAACGAUUCUGGUAUAAUAAAAAUAUAAAUGAAUAAUAUAUUAAAUUUGGGAAAUUAAAAAUAUAUUUAAAAAAAAACAACGAAAAUUCGAAAAAAUAGGUUUUUAAACCAAAUUAUAAACGAUUAUAAAAUUAAAAAACGAAUAAAAUUUUAACGGUUAUCGAAUUAAAUUGCACGAAAACGGUUUAAAAAUUCGUUAAAAAAACCAAAUAAAUAGGUUAAAAACGGUAAAACCGAAUUAAAUCGGAUUUAAAUAUAAAUUUGUCGUUUAAAAAACGCGAAAAACGUACGUUAUAUUAAUUUAUUAACCGGAAACGGCGUUUAAUUUCGCCGCAACGGCGCAAAUAAUAAUAUCGGAUAAAAAAAUCACAAAUUUAUAAAUAAAUAUAUAAAUUGACAAUAGGAAAACGCGCAAAAAAAGUUUUUUUACAUUCCCGUAAAUUUUAAAAAAGCGAAAUUAUUUGUAUUUGUCGACGGUUUUUUUAUAAAUAAUAAAAAUUUAAAUUUACAAAUCGGUUUUAUUAUUAUAUUGGGUAAUAAAAAUUCCGACAAAUAAAAAAUGGGUUUUCGCGUUAUUGGUAAUAUUUUAUAUUGGGUAUCGAAUAAAUGUUAUAAAUUAAUAAAAAAUGUGCCAAUUAAUAAAAUUUAUAAUAUAAUAAACGGGUUUAAUAUAAAAUUUAUGUUAAAAAUUAUUAUCGUUACCAUUAUAAAUUUGUUAAACUUAUUUUUUAUAUUUAUAAUUAUAUAUAUUAAUAAUUUGUUAUUAUAUUAGUAUUUAGUACAAUUGGAAAUAAUUCGGAAAAAGGUUUAUAAUUCAGUUUUUAAAUUUAAAAUAAUUGUACGAAAAUAGGGAAAUUGACAAAAUUCGGUGGACUUUUGGGAAAAUUAACCCAAUUAAUAUAAUAACGAAAAAAACGCCAAAUUGGGUUUUAAAUAAAUUUGUAAAUGUAAAUUUAACGUUUAUAUAAAUUAAAAAAUGGAUUAAAAAAUUACGGGGUACGGAAAAAAUUCGCGGAAAUUUGGUUUAAAAUAAAUUUAAUUAAAACGUACGGACGUUAAAAACGUUAAAAAAAUAGCAAAUUAUUAUUUAACCGAAUCGAAAUUAAAUUAGAAAAAACCGCAAAAAUAUUUAAAAAUAACCGGAACGUUUUUGCAAUAUUUAUAAUAAAAUAAAAACAACGAAAUAAAAUUUUAAUAUUUAAAAUAUUAAUUUGUUUUUAAAUAUUUCCGGUUCGAAUUUCCUAUUAAAUACCGUUUUAAAUUUUUUUUUUAUUAUCGUUUUUUUAAUUAUUAUUAAUUAUAACGUUAAAAACGUCGGAAUCGGUAUUAAUAAUUUUUUCGAUUUACAAAACGUUAAAUUAGCGAAUUACCGCGGUAUAACCCGCGGAACGACGUUCCGCCGACGAAAAAAAUUUGAAAUUGUCGUUCGAAAACGUAUUUUUUUAUAAAUAAUUAUUAAAAAUAUAUAUUUAAUUAUUACGCGUUAACGGUCGAAAUUUUAAAAAACGUUCGUUAAUUUAAAAAACGCAAAAAAACGUUAGGGGAAAAAAAAUUUACAGCAAUUGUGGUAAUUGAAAUUUUAGACGGCAAAACGUCGUUUUUGCGUUUGCGAAAUAUUACGGUAAUUGUUCCGGUAUUAUUAUUACAAUUGGUUUUUAUUUCGUUUUUAAACAAUUUUUUGGCAAUAUAUAAAUUAUAAACGCGCAAAAAUAAUAUUGCAAAUUUAAAAACAAUUGUUAAAUUGGAAAAACGUUAAAAAAACGUUAUAAAAAUUUUUUUUUUAAAAAAAAUUGUCGUAAAAAUAUUUUAUAUUAAUUUGUACAAAUAUUUUUAUUUAUAUUUUAUAUAACGUCCAAAAAACGGAUUUAUAUUAAAAUAAACUUUCAAACGAUUAACCGCAAUUUGUUUUUUUACCAAAUAAAAAUUUAAAUAACCGAAAUAAAAAAUAGGUUUCGGACCGAUAAAAAUAGGACUGUUAUUAAAAAUU
This 2689-nucleotide small RNA is filed under the name Pyricularia oryzae. RNAcentral describes it as "Magnaporthe oryzae sRNA M_BR32_EuGene_00144301". The record is from RNAcentral. Lineage: Eukaryota; Fungi; Ascomycota; Sordariomycetes; Magnaporthales; Pyriculariaceae.